This 1478-nucleotide ribosomal RNA is filed under the name uncultured bacterium. Its description in RNAcentral is "16S ribosomal RNA". It matches the Rfam family "Bacterial small subunit ribosomal RNA". The record is from RNAcentral.
GAUUCUGGCUCAGGAUGAACGCUAGCUACAGGCUUAACACAUGCAAGUCGCGGGGCAGCAUGUAUCUGGCUUGCCAGAUACGAUGGCGACCGGCGCACGGGUGAGUAACGCGUAUCCAACCUGCCCAUAACCACGGCACAGCCCGUCGAAAGGCGGAUUAAUGCCGUAUGAGGUUCCAGAGUAGCAUUAUUAUGGAACGAAAGGAUUGGCGGUUAUGGAUGGGGAUGCGUCCGAUUAGCUAGUUGGCGGGGUAACGGCCCACCAAGGCGACGAUCGGUAGGGGUUCUGAGAGGAAGGUCCCCCACACUGGAACUGAGACACGGUCCAGACUCCUACGGGAGGCAGCAGUGAGGAAUAUUGGUCAAUGGGCGGAAGCCUGAACCAGCCAAGUAGCGUGCAGGACGACGGCCCUAUGGGUUGUAAACUGCUUUUUCGCGGGGAUAAAGAGGGGGAUGCGUCCCCCGUUGCAGGUACCGCGUGAAUAAGGACCGGCUAAUUCCGUGCCAGCAGCCGCGGUAAUACGGAAGGUCCGGGCGUUAUCCGGAUUUAUUGGGUUUAAAGGGAGCGCAGGCCGUAUGGUAAGCGUGUUGUGAAAUGCCGUGGCUCAACCAUGGCACUGCAGCGCGAACUGCCGUACUUGAGUACGCUGGAGGUAGGCGGAAUUCGUGGUGUAGCGGUGAAAUGCUUAGAUAUCACGAAGAACCCCGAUUGCGAAGGCAGCCUACCGUAGCGGCACUGACGCUGAGGCUCGAAAGCGUGGGUAUCGAACAGGAUUAGAUACCCUGGUAGUCCACGCGGUAAACGAUGGAUGCUCGCCAUUGGGCAGUAAUGUUCAGGGGCCAAGCGAAAGCGUUAAGCAUCCCACCUGGGGAGUACGCCGGCAACGGUGAAACUCAAAGGAAUUGACGGGGGCCCGCACAAGCGGAGGAACAUGUGGUUUAAUUCGAUGAUACGCGAGGAACCUUACCCGGGCUUGAACUGCAGGAGAACGAGACAGAGAUGUUGAGGCCCUUCGGGGCUCCUGUGGAGGUGCUGCAUGGUUGUCGUCAGCUCGUGCCGUGAGGUGUCGGCUCAAGUGCCAUAACGAGCGCAACCCCUGUCCGUAGUUGCCAUCAGUAUCAGCUGGGCACUCUGCGGAGACUGCCGCCGUAAGGUGUGAGGAAGGUGGGGAUGACGUCAAAUCAGCACGGCCCUUACGUCCGGGGCUACACACGUGUUACAAUGGGCCAUACAGAGCGUUAUGUGGCGGCAACGCCACUGCAAUCGUGAAAGUGGCUCUCAGUUCGGACUGGGGUCUGCAACCCGACCCCACGAAGCUGGAUUCGCUAGUAAUCGCGCAUCAGCCAUGGCGCGGUGAAUACGUUCCCGGGCCUUGUACACACCGCCCGUCAAGCCAUGAAAGCCGGGGGCGCCUGAAGUCCGUGACCGCGAGGGUCGGCCUAGGGCGAAACCGGUGAUUGGGGCUAAGUCGUAACAAG